Molecule: long non-coding RNA, 4116 nt
Organism: Pseudopipra pipra
Lineage: Eukaryota; Metazoa; Chordata; Aves; Passeriformes; Pipridae
Exons: 4
Source: RefSeq, a predicted model, not a curated record
ACUGUUAUGCCCACUCUGUGGAACAUUUCAGUACAGCACUACUUUUUUUUUUUUUCUUCAUUUAAAGUCAAAAUGCAAAAUGCCUUUUCCCCCCCCCAUUCUCAUCUUACAGCCACCUCAGUUGGCAGACAUUGGUUUAGAGAGAAGAGAUUGGACUUCUGGUGAAAUAAAGGACAAGUGCAAAAGUUCACUUGGUCAAAGUAAGCGUGGAGAAAAACCCAGUAUAGAGCACAAGUCUGCCAGGAGGACUUAAAAGUAAAUCUUAGAAGCUCUCAAGCAGCAAAUGAAACAGCAGGAAAAAAGUCAACAAUUAAAUUCAAUCUGUGAACCAGCAGCAGCAGAGGACAAUAGAAGGUGGUGUUGGACAGGCCAAAAAACUACCAGUGUUUCUCAUCCACUUAGAAUUUCAACAGUCAACCAAAAACAAUGGGGAGAAAGGAGCAUCAAGCAAAAUAAACAAUUGUAUUUCCCUUCAGACAAGGGACAGUCCUCUAUUUCACCUGCAGAAUUCAUUACUUCCAAUGUGAAGACCCUUCUUUCCACAGAAAGGAAUUAUCAAUUAUAUUUGCCUUUUAUAGUGUGAGGCAUCAGGAAUAAGAAAGAACUUUAUUUUUCCAAAGCCAAACAAGUUCUUUUUUAAAUCUGCAACUUCUCCAAGUUAAUACACACAAAGACUUAAGAGGAAUUCAUUCGUGUAACAGAGAAAGAGAUUACAGAUGCCACAAGGUGAAUAACCUUAUGACAGCACUCAAGUGCUUUCCAGCAGUGUUUUCUCACAACUUCUCUUUGGGUAACAUAAUUUGAAGUGAAAAACUGUUUUCUUCCUUUUGAAGUAGUACAGGCUGAAAUACAUUCAGGAGAAAGGAAGUAGCAUGCUCUGUAGAGCAAGGACUUUAUUCUUAUUCAGCCAAUGUUACUCAGUCAAAGUCUCAGAUAAAGACCAGUUUCACAGUAUUGCAAGACUGGUAGUAAAUUCUGUGACCAGCAUGGAGUCUAGCAACUACAGUCUUCAACUAACAGCAAGUCAUGUUCAAUUAUUCUGUGGUACUGUUCAGUUUACUCCGCAUAUCCACUUAAUCAGGAGAUAAAGUCUAGAUGAAAUCACUUGAAUCAUUGCCAACAUAAAAAUGCAGUGUAUUAAUCCCUUUUACUUUCAUUUCUCCAGUUCAAAAGAAGAUCUGGAAAAUCAAGUUGCUAGCAGUAAUCCUGCUGUGAAAAUAGAUCUGUAAAAGCAAGUGGGACACAGUUCCAGAGGAAAUCAAGUCUUAGAAUAUAAAGACAGGCAGGGAAAAAGCCAAGCCAAGGAAGGAGACAAACUGAAGGAGGUUCUGAAUCACAUCAGCUACCACUUGAAUUCUUGCUAUUGACACAACCCUCAUUCAUCUCUCUUGAGCCUGAUCCAAAGAUCACAUGGUAGGGGCACUUCAGUUCAGCAUCUGGAAUCCCUAAUUACAUUCUUGGUUUCAAAUAUGCUUGCCUACUGCCAGCUCCUCACUGCUAAAGGACCUGGGUCCAACCAUCACCCAGCAUCCUACAGUGCUGCCAUCAGUUUUCCACAACACUGUCCUGAACUAAGUCACAUGCCACUUAAGGCAGAAACCAAUUUAAAACAGAAGCACAUAUAAAUACAUAAAGAUACACAGACAACCCUACUAGCCAGUAUGUUUUCAAUUUUCCUAGUAUCAUUGGAUACCUCAGGCUUGAAGAGACCUCAGGAGGUUUCUAGUCUAAGCUUCUGCAAUUACAAUUACCUACAGCAUCUCAGCUCAAGGAGCUACAGGAAUCCCUACUGAAUUAGCAGAGGUAGUUAUGAAGGUAUGUGCCCUACCAGAGAGCUGACACAUUCAUUUAAAGUGGAUCAGGAACACACACUAGACACACUUUUAUCCAGACCUUAGACAAAACCAAUGGCUGAGACCUAAGUCAGAUUAAACACUGUUGUCUUCAUUAACAGUAUAAUUAAAAUUUCAAAUAGACAACUCCAUUUUUCCCAAUAUUUUAAUUCCAUGAUAGCAUACAAUAUCAGAAACCAGUCUUAUUCUUUACAAAAAUUCAGUUGUAAAACUUUUCCAUUCAUAUACAGAAGUUCAGGGACUUUCCCUCGUGCAAAAUUAGAAAAUUGCCCAGACAGCAUCUGAAAAGAAGCAGUCCACAAAAUUUUAACAUUAUUUCUGGGUAUUUAUGUAUCAAUGUAUAAAAAUACAAAAAAACAUGAGAGAAAAUUUACUUUAAGAUAUUUCUACACUUCUCUUCAUUUUUUUUACAUCAAGUGACAACAAUAUCUAUGUUCCAAGACUCAAAAUGAGGAAAGCAACACUUUUAUAAAAUGCAGGUAAUGUAAAAAUACUGAAAAAAAACCAAGAUAUGCAAGUAAUAUUCAGUCAGCCAAAUAUCAUAAGCUAUCACAAGUGUGCAGUGUAGAUUUAGGAAUGUGACACAAACACGUGAAAUACUUAAUGACAUUAAAUUUGGCACACCAGAAAUUUCCCAUAUAUAUAGUUUACCUGUCAAGUCUCAAGUGAAGUGGGCAAGCAUAAACUAAAUCACAAUUAUAACACAAGCUAUGCAAGAGUGGGAAAAAAAACCCACCCAGAACUAUACAGCUUAAAAAAGAUCUUUGAUUAAACAACCUGUUACUUCUUUCUGGAUAAAAUAAAAAUACUUUCCUACUUCAAAGCACAAAAUAAUCCUAGAGACAGCAAAUCUGAGGUGUUUCGUCCUACCAACACCCUACUUCAUAAUUGCCUAUUACUACUUUAUCAUCUCACUUAUGCCACCACAUAACAAGCCAAUCCAAAUAUUAAAAUCUGUGAGAGGGAUAAAGGAGUAAGAAAGGCAGGAAAAGAAUUAAAUCUAACACUAUAUGUUUAGCAUAAAAUUAAGUAUCUUUAUUUAAAGGCAUCUUUACAGAGCUGCUUACUUUUUUACUGCUCUGAAAACAGCACAUGAAGCAACAGAUCUAUUAUUUUAUCUGAAAUACCCUAAACAACCUUCAAAAUAUCUUCACUGAACAUAAGGAUAAAGAAUGUUGUGGUAUCCUUAGUCCUCCAGUACUAUUUUAAGAGACAAACACUUCCCUGUAAUUGCAGUCCAGACUCCCAAAGAGCCAUUUUUUUUCCUCUUUAAGAAUGUCCAUUUGUGGCUAUCAAUAAGCAUCAUAAAAACACAAGACAUUCAUGGGCUAUUUUAACCAAAUAGAUGGCAAAUUGUUUCCAGCUCCCACAGCCUGCUUACACAUUUAGGAUUUGAAUGCCUCUCCAAGACUUAAAUGGGCACUGAAAGAAGACAGCGACCCACAGCCCGUUUAUCCCAAAGGCUGGCAGCUCUAUUUCCAGCAAGGAACGGUGACUGGGUGCCUGCGGUGUGAGCUCUCUGUGAGCCCCCGCGGGCCCCGCGCACCACUAGAGGCCCUCGCAGCAGCUCCAUUUCCUGCACUCUGCUUUUAACUCUGCCUUCAAGACACACCCAGGGUCGCUCAGCUGCCUCACAGGUUGGAGCUGCAGGCAUCUGCAUACUUUGAUUUUUGUUAGGUAUUGCUUCACCAAGUUUCAGCUAAACGAACAGGUAAAUAGGUGGUGGGGUUUUUUUCCUUUUUACAUAUUAUUUGUACUGCUCUAACACCCAAAGCCUCCCAAAAGAGAUGCAUUAAUUCGUACUUUGAACUUUACAAACCACCUCAUGGAAGGCAGCUGGAGAGGAAAAAGAAAAAUUCUGAGAAGUGAAAAGAGUAUUGUCUUCCUGAGGUCUUAAAAUCCAGAAGUUUUCUGUAUGUGUUUACUAGGACAUCACAAGGAAGAAUCUGACAAGCCUCUUCAACAAGAAUGUUCCUACAGGACGUUAGCCCUCAGCAAAAGGGCUCUAUUCUUACGUAUUCUGAAAUAUCAUCUAUUUCUAGGGCUCUGAUUCUGUGCUAAUGAAGCUGAAAUACUUUGACAUGUCUUAAUUUACUUACGUUUUCAGUGUUCCAGACGUCAUUAGUUCCGUCACGAGAACAAUACACUUUUUUCCUUUGACUGUAGACUCCCAGGAAUCAUAGAACCUGACAAUAUUGGGAUGCUGAAGCCCUUUCAGCAUCCCAGCUUCCUCUUUAAAUCGUUGUCGCUCUGACUUGGACAG